RNAcentral lists this unclassified non-coding RNA (221 nucleotides) under Hevea brasiliensis (rubber tree). Lineage: Eukaryota; Viridiplantae; Streptophyta; Magnoliopsida; Malpighiales; Euphorbiaceae. The record is from RNAcentral.
GUUCAAUAUUCUUGCCCUGAGGGUAAUGCUCACCUGAUAAGUAGGAGUCCUCUUCAGCAAAAGAUUGGUCAUCAUCUUCAUCCUUUCUUGGUGCCCUGUCGUGUGGAUCAGGGACGCUACCAUGCCCAGUACCCUUAUCAUUGUCACUUGGGUAGUCGACCUCAUGAGCCAGAAACCAAGUUUCAUCUUCAAUAGGUUGUCUUGUGUACCCAACAUCCUCA